This 549-nucleotide ribosomal RNA is filed under the name uncultured bacterium. RNAcentral's name for it is "bacterial LSU rRNA". It matches the Rfam family "Bacterial large subunit ribosomal RNA", at positions 464 to 1016 of the family's 2925-position model. The record is from RNAcentral.
GGCUAAAUACUCGUAAUCGACCGAUAGUGAACCAGUACCGUGAGGGAAAGGCGAAAAGAACCCCGGGAGGGGAGUGAAAUAGAUCCUGAAACCGCAUGCAUACAAACAGUGGGAGCCCCUUCGUGGGGUGACUGCGUACCUUUUGUAUAAUGGGUCAGCGACUUACGUUCAGUAGCGAGCUUAACCGCAUAGGGGAGGCGUAGGGAAACCGAGUCCGAAUAGGGCGCCUAGUUGCUGGACGUAGACCCGAAACCAAGUGAUCUAUCCAUGGCCAGGAUGAAGGUGCGGUAACACGCACUGGAGGUCCGAACCCACUAAUGUUGAAAAAUUAGGGGAUGAGCUGUGGAUAGGGGUGAAAGGCUAAACAAACUUGGAAAUAGCUGGUUCUCUCCGAAAAACUAUUUAGGUAGUGCCUCAAGUAUCACCGACGGGGGUAAAGCACUGUUAUGGCUAGGGGUCAUCGCGAUUUACCAAACCAUUGCAAACUCAGAAUACCGUUGAGUGCGAGCUUGGGAGACAGACAUCGGGUGCUAACGUCCGGUGUCGAGA